RNAcentral lists this long non-coding RNA (1243 nucleotides) under Homo sapiens (human). Its description in RNAcentral is "HSALNT0236826". The record is from RNAcentral. Lineage: Eukaryota; Metazoa; Chordata; Mammalia; Primates; Hominidae.
GGUGUUUCCAGGGGAGAUUGCUGUGAGUCAGUGGGCUGAGUGGGAAACAUCCACCCUCAAUGUGGCAGGCAUCAUCCAAUCAUUGUGGGUCCUGGUGGAACGAAAAAAGGGAGAAAAGGAUUUCCUCCCUUUCUCUCUGUCCUGGAGCUGGGACACUCUCCUCCUCCUGCUCUUGGUGAUCAGAACCCUGGCUCUCUGGCUUUGGGACUCCAGGACCCAUACCAGUGGUCCUCUGACCAGUGGAAGUAUUCUCAGGCCUUUGGUCUUGGACUGAGAAUUACACCAUUGGCAUCCGUGGUUCCAAAGCCUUCAGACUUGGACUGAGCCAUGCUGCUACUGGCAUCCCAGGGUCUCCAGCUUGCAGACAGCCUGUAGUGGGAACGGCCUGUAGUGGGACUUCUCCGCCUCCAUAAUCACGAACCAGUGGUCUCUGCUGCUCCGUGUUACGUCAAACAGCCUCUCUCACGGAACUGAAUAUGGAGGCAAAUAACUCAAGGAUGAAAAAUGACUGUAGUUAUGAGUUUCUAGAAGAAACCACAGAGAUGAGGUGCUCUUCUUACAACAUUAGAGCAAAGCAACAUGGUAUCAGCAAGUUCACCUGGAUUUUUUUUUUUUGUUUUGACACAGAGUCUCUCCCUGUCACUCAGGCUGGAAUACAGCAGCAUGAUCUCGGCUCACUGCAACCUCUGCCUCCUGGGUUCAAGCGAUUCUCCUGCCGCAGCCUCCUAAAUAGCUGGGAUUACAGGCGCCUGCUACCAAGCCCGGCUAGUUUUUGUACUUUUAGUAGAGAUGGGGUUUUGCCAUGUUGGCCAGGCUGGUCUUUAACACCUGGCCUCAAGUUAUUCGCCCGCCUCGGCCUCCCAAAGUGCUGGGAUUACAGGUGUGAGCCACCACGCCUGAACUCACCUGGAUUAUUUGAUUAAGGUGAUGUCUACCAGGUGUCGCCACGGGAGUUUUUUUUUUUUUUUUAAAGGACACUUUUUUACCUUAAUGGAUGCUCACCGACUAUGAGCCAGAAAAAAAAGAAAAACAGAAUGAAAGAAUGUGUAUGAAAUGUAAAUCCAUCAGUGAUGAUGAAAUCUAGCAGCAAAGUAUGAUUAGAGAUAUGACAAUGUUUUCUGAUUCUCUGGAAACGGAACCUGCCUUAUAACGUACAAGUCUUUAACUUUAGGGGAUGUUUUUAAGAAAGUAUACAUAGGCACUGCCUGUGCCGACUGGGUGUUCUCAUUCUGCCUGGCUCCCA